GAAGCUGUGGAUUGUCCGUAGGACAAUGGUAGGAGAGCGUUCUAAGGGCGUUGAAGCAUGAUCGCAAGGACAUGUGGAGCGCUUAGAAGUGAGAAUGCCGGUGUGAGUAGCGAAAGACGGGUGAGAAUCCCGUCCACCGAUUGACUAAGGUUUCCAGAGGAAGGCUCGUCCGCUCUGGGUUAGUCGGGUCCUAAGCUGAGGCCGAUAGGCGUAGGCGAUGGAUAACAGGUUGAUAUUCCUGUACCACCAUAAUUCGUUUUAAGCGAUGGGGGGACGCAGUAGGAUAGGCGAAGCGUACGAUUGGAUUGUACGUCCAAGCAGUAAGACUGAGUGUUAGGCAAAUCCGGCACUCUUAAGGUCAAGCUGUGAUGGGGAGAGGAAAUUGUUUCCUCGAGUCGUUGAUUUCACACUGCCGAGAAAAGCCUCUAGCUAGAUUUAUGGUGCCCGUACCGCAAACCGACACAGGUAGUCAAGAUGAGAAUUCUAAGGUGAGCGAGCGAACUCUCGUUAAGGAACUCGGCAAAAUGACCCCGUAACUUCGGGAGAAGGGGUGCUCUUUAGGGUUAACGCCCAGGAGAGCCGCAGUGAAUAGGCCCAAGCGACUGUUUAUCA
RNAcentral lists this ribosomal RNA (612 nucleotides) under Campylobacter coli. Its description in RNAcentral is "partial 23S ribosomal RNA". It matches the Rfam family "Bacterial large subunit ribosomal RNA", at positions 1196 to 1809 of the family's 2925-position model. The record is from RNAcentral. Lineage: Bacteria; Pseudomonadati; Campylobacterota; Epsilonproteobacteria; Campylobacterales; Campylobacteraceae.